GGACCAUUGCAAUUUAAAGAUGUGGCCAUAGAAUUCUCUCUGGAGGAGUGGCAGUGCCUGGACACUGCACAGCAGAAUUUAUAUAGGGAUGUGAAGUUUCAGAACUACAGAAACUUGGUCUUCCUUUAGAUUAUAUUUUCUUCCAUCUUCCGCAUCCUCCUGUUCUUCAGCCAAUAAAUGAAAAAAGAUACAGAGAAGACACAUUUGCUUUUUAUCCACUGCACUUCCACUCACUAUUAGUCAAUGUGGUUACAGCUGAGAAUAGCAGUUUUCUGGCAGGGCAGCCACUUCUCAGCAAUAAACUGCACACUGAAAAAAAAGGAUAAAUCCUUCAUAAAAAGCUAAUGAACUUUUUUUUUCCUGGAAAUUUUAAAAUCCCUCAAAAACUGUUUAUUAUACAGGUGAAUUUUGAUAGUCAUGAUGGGCUUAUCGGUAGGAUUUCUGGUAGCGAGCACGGGCACCAGGGCCUCCAAACUUUUUGGACUUGCAGCGACGGAGAUCAGCUACCAGCAGGGUCCGGUCAUACUGGAUGAG
RNAcentral lists this non-coding RNA (534 nucleotides) under Pan troglodytes (chimpanzee). The record is from RNAcentral. Lineage: Eukaryota; Metazoa; Chordata; Mammalia; Primates; Hominidae.